RNAcentral lists this unclassified non-coding RNA (253 nucleotides) under uncultured Nocardioidaceae bacterium. Its description in RNAcentral is "contains 16S-23S intergenic spacer region". It matches the Rfam family "Bacterial small subunit ribosomal RNA", at positions 524 to 776 of the family's 1533-position model. Lineage: Bacteria; Bacillati; Actinomycetota; Actinomycetes; Propionibacteriales; Nocardioidaceae. The record is from RNAcentral.
UACGUAGGUGGCAAGCGUUGUCCGGAAUUAUUGGGCGUAAAGGGCUCGUAGGCGGUUUGUCGCGUCGGGAGUGCAAACAUCUGGCUUAACUGGGUGCUUGCUUUCGAUACGGGCAGACUUGAGGCAUGCAGGGGAGAAUGGAAUUCCUGGUGUAGCGGUGAAAUGCGCAGAUAUCAGGAGGAACACCGGUGGCGAAGGCGGUUCUCUGGGCAUGUCCUGACGCUGAGGUGCGAAAGCGUGGGGAGCAAACAGG